Molecule: ribosomal RNA, 500 nt
Filed under: uncultured bacterium
Lineage: Bacteria
Description: partial 16S ribosomal RNA
Rfam family: Bacterial small subunit ribosomal RNA
Source: RNAcentral
AUUGAACGCUGGCGGAAUGCUUUACACAUGCAAGUCGAACGGCAGCACGGACUUCGGUCUGGUGGCGAGUGGCGAACGGGUGAGUAAUGUAUCGGAACGUGCCCAGUCGUGGGGGAUAACGUAGUGAAAAUUACGCUAAUACCGCAUACGAUCUAUGGAUGAAAGCGGGGGAUCGCAAGACCUCGCGCGAUUGGAGCGGCCGAUAUCAGAUUAGGUAGUUGGUGGGGUAAAGGCCCACCAAGCCAACGAUCUGUAGCUGGUCUGAGAGGACGACCAGCCACACAGGAACUGGGACACGGUCCAGACUCCUACGGGAGGCAGCAGUGGGGAAUUUUGGACAAUGGGCGAAAGCCUGAUCCAGCCAUUCCGCGUGCAGGAUGAAGGCCCUCGGGUUGUAAACUGCUUUUGUACAGAACGAAAAGGUUUCUACUAAUACUAGGAGCUCAUGACGGUACUGUAAGAAUAAGCACCGGCUAACUACGUGCCAGCCGCCGCCGUAG